RNAcentral lists this ribosomal RNA (429 nucleotides) under Chloroflexota bacterium. Its description in RNAcentral is "Chloroflexi bacterium partial 16S ribosomal RNA". It matches the Rfam family "Bacterial small subunit ribosomal RNA", at positions 355 to 776 of the family's 1533-position model. Lineage: Bacteria; Bacillati; Chloroflexota. The record is from RNAcentral.
UGGGGAAUAUUGCACAAUGGGCGCAAGCCUGAUGCAGCCAUGCCGCGUGUAUGAAGAAGGCCUUCGGGUUGUAAAGUACUUUCAGUCGGGAGGAAGGUGGUAAGGUUAAUAACCUUAUCAAUUGACGUUACCGACAGAAGAAGCACCGGCUAACUCCGUGCCAGCAGCCGCGGUAAUACGGAGGGUGCAAGCGUUAAUCGGAAUUACUGGGCGUAAAGCGCACGCAGGCGGUUGAUUGAGUCAGAGGUGAAAUCCCCGGGCUUAACCCGGGAAUUGCAUCUGAUACUGGUCAGGUAGAGACUUGUAGAGGGGGGUACAGUUCCAUGUGUAGCGGUGAGAUGCGUAGAGAUGUGAAAGAAUACCGGUGGCGAAGGCGGCCCCCGGGGCAAAGACUGACGCUCAGGUGCGAAAGCGAGGGGAGCAAACAGG